RNAcentral lists this transfer RNA (67 nucleotides) under Plateros sp. UPOL A00507. RNAcentral's name for it is "tRNA-Gln". The record is from RNAcentral. Lineage: Eukaryota; Metazoa; Arthropoda; Insecta; Coleoptera; Lycidae.
UUAUAAAACGAUAGUUUAACUUUACAAUGAAAAGAUAAUGUUUUAUUUAAACUAUAUAAAUAGAAAU